This is a long non-coding RNA of Drosophila albomicans, 229 nucleotides long. RefSeq lists it as uncharacterized. NCBI's taxonomy places the organism in Eukaryota, Metazoa, Arthropoda, Insecta, Diptera, Drosophilidae. The record is from RefSeq and is a predicted model, not a curated record. The transcript is spliced from 2 exons.
UUUGCUGUUUCGAAAUUUAAAGAAGUUUAAAGUUUGGUCGAACCUGAACACUGGCAGAAGAGCUGGAAAUGAAAAUGAGUUUGCUUUGGGUAAUUUCUGUGCAACAGCUUGAUUCCUUUUUGAACAAUUGUAAGACGGGGCAACGAAAUCCAAGUAACAAAAGUACACAAUUUUUUUUGUAAUAUACCUCCAAGGUUGAAUUUAAUAAAAUGAAAUUACUUUUAAAAAA